CACGCCGUAAACGAUGAAUACCAGGUGUAGGAGGUAUCGACCCCUUCUGUGCCGACGUUAACGCAAUCAGUAUUCCACCUGGGGAGUACGGCCGCAAGGCUGAAACUCAAAGGAAUUGACGGGGGCCCGCACAAGCAGUGGAGUAUGUGGUUUAAUUCGAAGCAACGCGAAGAACCUUACCAGGGCUUGACAUCCUUCGACGAUGGUAGAGAUAUCAUUUUCCCUUCGGGGACGAAGAGACAGGUGG
This 247-nucleotide ribosomal RNA is filed under the name uncultured Eubacteriales bacterium. Its description in RNAcentral is "uncultured Clostridiales bacterium partial 16S ribosomal RNA". It matches the Rfam family "Bacterial small subunit ribosomal RNA", at positions 796 to 1041 of the family's 1533-position model. The record is from RNAcentral. Lineage: Bacteria; Bacillati; Bacillota; Clostridia; Eubacteriales.